UGGGGAAUAUUGCACAAUGGGCGCAAGCCUGAUGCAGCGACGCCGCGUGAGGGAUGGAGGCCUUCGGGUUGUAAACCUCUUUCGCCAGUGAAGCAGGCCAUCUUCUUUGUGGGGUGGUUGACGGUAGCUGGAUAAGAAGCGCCGGCUAACUACGUGCCAGCAGCCGCGGUAAUACGUAGGGCGCGAGCGUUGUCCGGAAUUAUUGGGCGUAAAGAGCUCGUAGGCGGCUGGUCGCGUCUGUCGUGAAAUUCCCUGGCUUAACUGGGGGCUUGCGGUGGGUACGGGCCGGCUUGAGUGCGGUAGGGGAGACUGGAAUUCCUGGUGUAGCGGUGGAAUGCGCAGAUAUCAGGAGGAACACCGGUGGCGAAGGCGGGUCUCUGGGCCGUUACUGACGCUGAGGAGCGAAAGCGUGGGGAGCGAACAGG
Molecule: ribosomal RNA, 425 nt
Filed under: bacterium
Lineage: Bacteria
Description: partial 16S ribosomal RNA
Rfam family: Bacterial small subunit ribosomal RNA
Source: RNAcentral